CCUACGGGAGGCAGCAGUGGGGAAUUUUGCGCACUGCUCGUAAGAGUGACGCAGCGACGCCGCGUGAAUGACGAAGGCCUUCGGGUCGUAAAGUUCUUUCGACAGGGAAGAAAAUGCCUAUAAGUAACUGUGUAUGUAUUGACGGUGCCUGUAUAAGCAGCCCCGGCUCACUCCGUGCCAGCAGCCGCGGUAAUACGGAAGGCCCGAGCGUUAUCCGGAUUCAUUGGGCUUAAAGGGAGCGUAGGCGGGCGUUCAAGUCAGCUGGAAAAUCGCGCGGCUCAACCGCGCCCCGCAGUUGAAACUGGACGCCUUGAGUUCACAACAGGCAUGCGGAAGUCGUGGUGUAGCGGUGAAAUGCAUAGAUAGCACGAGGAACCCCGAUUGCGAAGGCAGCCUGCCGGGGUGCGACUGACGCUGAGGCUCGAAGGUGCGGGUAUCAAACAGGAGUAGAUACCCGUGUAGUC
RNAcentral lists this ribosomal RNA (464 nucleotides) under uncultured bacterium. RNAcentral describes it as "partial 16S ribosomal RNA". It matches the Rfam family "Bacterial small subunit ribosomal RNA", at positions 338 to 795 of the family's 1533-position model. The record is from RNAcentral.